This 1481-nucleotide ribosomal RNA is filed under the name metagenome. RNAcentral describes it as "bacterial SSU rRNA". It matches the Rfam family "Bacterial small subunit ribosomal RNA". The record is from RNAcentral.
AGAGUUUGAUCCUGGCUCAGGAUGAACGCUAGCGGGAGGCUUAACACAUGCAAGUCGAGGGGUAACAGCGGUAGCAAUACUGGCUGACGACCGGCGCACGGGUGAGUAACGCGUAUGCAACCUACCUUUUACAGAGGAAUAGCCCAGAGAAAUUUGGAUUAAUACCUCAUAGUACUUUAAGAUCACAUGGUUUUACAGUUAAAGUUUCGGCGGUAAAAGAUGGGCAUGCGUGACAUUAGAUUGUUGGGGGGGUAACGGCCCACCAAGUCUGCGAUGUCUAGGGGUUCUGAGAGGAUGAUCCCCCACACUGGUACUGAGACACGGACCAGACUCCUACGGGAGGCAGCAGUGAGGAAUAUUGGUCAAUGGGCGCAAGCCUGAACCAGCCAUCCCGCGUGAAGGAAGACUGCCCUAUGGGUUGUAAACUUCUUUUAUGUACCAAGAAUGUGUCCCUCGUGAGGGAUUUUGACGGUAGUACAUGAAUAAGCAUCGGCUAACUCCGUGCCAGCAGCCGCGGUAAUACGGAGGAUGCGAGCGUUAUCCGGAUUCAUUGGGUUUAAAGGGUGCGUAGGCGGGUUCUUAAGUCAGUGGUGAAAUCCUGCGGCUCAACCGUAGAACUGCCAUUGAAACUGAGAACCUUGAAUAUAAUUGAGGUAGGCGGAAUGAGUAGUGUAGCGGUGAAAUGCUUAGAUAUUACUCAGAACACCAAUUGCGAAGGCAGCUUACUAAACUAUUAUUGACGCUGAUGCGCGAAAGCGUGGGGAGCGAACAGGAUUAGAUACCCUGGUAGUCCACGCCGUAAACGAUGUUCACUCGCUGUAUGCGAUACACAGUAUGCGGCCAAGCGAAAGUAUUAAGUGAACCACCUGGGGAGUACGUCGGCAACGGUGAAACUCAAAGGAAUUGACGGGGGCCCGCACAAGCGGAGGAACAUGUGGUUUAAUUCGAUGAUACGCGAGGAACCUUACCUGGGCUUAAAUGUAGAUUGCAUGUGGUGGAAACACCCUUCCCUUCGGGGCUAUCUACAAGGUGCUGCAUGGUUGUCGUCAGCUCGUGCCGUGAGGUGUCGGGUUAAGUCCCAUAACGAGCGCAACCCCUAUCGUUAGUUGCCAUCAGGUCAUGCUGGGGACUCUAGCGAGACUGCCACCGUAAGGUGAGAGGAAGGUGGGGACGACGUCAAAUCAGCACGGCCCUUAUGUCCAGGGCUACACACGUGUUACAAUGGCAGGUACAAAGGGCAGCUACACCGCGAGGUGAUGCUAAUCUCUAAAGCCUGUCUCAGUUCGGAUCGGAGUCUGCAACUCGACUCCGUGAAGUUGGAUUCGCUAGUAAUCGGAUAUCAGCCAUGAUCCGGUGAAUACGUUCCCGGGCCUUGUACACACCGCCCGUCAAACCAUGGAAGCUGGGGGGACCUGAAGUCUGUCACCGAAAGGAGCGGCCUAGGGUAAAACCGGUAACUGGGGUUAAGUCGUAACAAGGUA